GCCUGGCUGGUUCAGCGGGUAGAGUAUGAGACUCUUGAUCUCAGGGUUGUGAGUUCGAGCCCCAUGCUGGGUG
RNAcentral lists this transfer RNA (73 nucleotides) under Ailuropoda melanoleuca (giant panda). It matches the Rfam family "tRNA". Rfam says of the family: Transfer RNA (tRNA) molecules are approximately 80 nucleotides in length. Their secondary structure includes four short double-helical elements and three loops (D, anti-codon, and T loops). Further hydrogen bonds mediate the characteristic L-shaped molecular structure. tRNAs have two regions of fundamental functional importance: the anti-codon, which is responsible for specific mRNA codon recognition, and the 3' end, to which the tRNAs corresponding amino acid is attached (by aminoacyl-tRNA synthetases). tRNAs cope with the degeneracy of the genetic code in two manners: having more than one tRNA (with a specific anti-codon) for a particular amino acid; and 'wobble' base-pairing, i.e. permitting non-standard base-pairing at the 3rd anti-codon position. Lineage: Eukaryota; Metazoa; Chordata; Mammalia; Carnivora; Ursidae. The record is from Rfam by way of RNAcentral.